RNAcentral lists this ribosomal RNA (433 nucleotides) under uncultured bacterium. RNAcentral describes it as "partial 16S ribosomal RNA". It matches the Rfam family "Bacterial small subunit ribosomal RNA", at positions 29 to 507 of the family's 1533-position model. The record is from RNAcentral.
AACGAACGCUGGCGGCAGGCCUAACACAUGCAAGUCGAGCGAGGACUUCGGUUCUAGCGGCGGACGGGUGAGUAACGCGUGGGAAUGUGCCCUUCUCUACGGAAUAGCCCUGGGAAACUGGGAGUAAUACCGUAUACGCCCUUUUGGGGAAAGAUUUAUCGGAGAAGGAUCAGCCCGCGUUGGAUUAGGUAGUUGGUGGGGUAAUGGCCUACCAAGCCGACGAUCCAUAGCUGGUUUGAGAGGAUGAUCAGCCACACUGGGACUGAGACACGGCCCAGACUCCUACGGGAGGCAGCAGUGGGGAAUCUUAGACAAUGGGGGCAACCCUGAUCUAGCCAUGCCGCGUGAGUGAUGAAGGCCUUAGGGUUGUAAAGCUCUUUCAGCUGGGAGGAUAAUGACGGUACCAGCAGAAGAAGCCCCGGCUAACUCCGUG